This 1454-nucleotide ribosomal RNA is filed under the name uncultured Bordetella sp. RNAcentral describes it as "partial 16S-23S ribosomal RNA intergenic spacer". It matches the Rfam family "Bacterial small subunit ribosomal RNA". Lineage: Bacteria; Pseudomonadati; Pseudomonadota; Betaproteobacteria; Burkholderiales; Alcaligenaceae. The record is from RNAcentral.
AGUUCACAUCCUGGCUCAGAUUGAACGCUGGCGGGAUGCUUUAAGCACAUGCAAGUCGAACGGCAGCACGGACUUCGGUCCGGUGGCGAGUGGCGAACGGUGAGUAAUGUAUCGGAACGUGCCUAGUAGCGGGGAUAACUACGAAAGCGGAAGCAUUACCGCAUACGCCCUUCGGGGGAAAGCGGGGACCUUCGGGCCUCGCACUAUUAGAGCGGCCGAUAUCGGAUUAGCUAGUUGGUGGGGUAACGGCUCACCAAGGCGACGAUCCGUAGCCGGUUUGAGAGGACGACCAGCCACACUGGACUGAGACAUCGGCCUCAGACUCUACGGAAGCGGUGCAGUAAAUUUUUGGACACGGGGAACCAUCUGCACCGCAGGCGAUGGCGGCUUCGGUUGUAAAGCACUUGCAGGAAGGUAAACGGCACGGAUACGUCCGUGCAACUGACUUCUGUACCAUAAUAAAGCCAGCAACUACGUUGCCGGCAGCCUGCGCAGUGCCGGUGCAAAGGCGUUAAUCGUGGAAAUUAAUGGGCGCAAAGCGGCGCAGGCGGUUCGGAAAGAAAGAUGUGGAAAUCCCAGAGCUUAACUUUGAACUGCAUUUUUAACUACCGAGCUAGAGUGUGUCAGAGGGAGGGACCGUGUAGCAGAAAUGCGUAGAUAUGCGGAGGAACACCGAUGGCGAAGGCAGCCUCCUGGGAUAACACUGACGCUCGCAUCAAAGCGUGGGGAGCAAACAGGAUUAGAUACCCCGGUAGUCCACGCCCUAAACGAUGUCAACUAGCUGUUGGGGCCUUCGGGCCUUGGUAGCGCAGCUUAACGCGUGAAGUUGACCGCCUGUGGAGUACGGUCGCAAGAUUAAAACUCAAAGGAAUUGACGGGGACCCGCACAAGCGGUGGAUGAUGUGGAUUAAUUCGAUGCAACGCGAAAAACCUUACCUACCCUUGACAUGUCUGGAAUCCCGGAAGAGAUUUGGAGUGCUCGCAAGAGAACCGAACACAGGUGCUGCAUGGCUGCUGUGUCAGCUCGUGUCGUGAGAUGUUGGGUUAAGUCCCGCAACGAGCGCAACCCUUGUCAUUAGUUGCUACGAAAGGGCACUCUAAUGAGACUGCCGGUGACAAACCGGAGGAAGGCGGGGGAUGACGUCAAGUCCUCAUGGCCCUUAUGGGUAGGGCUUCAAGACGUCAUACAAUGGUCGGGACAGAGGGCCAACCCGCGAGGGGGAGCCAAUCCCAGAAACCCGAUCGUAGUCCGGACUGUAGUCUGCAACUCGGACUGCGUGAAGUCGGAAUCGCUAGUAAUCGCGGAUCAGCAUGUCGCGGUGAAUACGUUCCCGGGUCUUGCACACACCGCCCGUCACACCGGCGAGUGGGUUUUACCAGAAGUAGUUAGCCUAACCGGGGCGGAGGGCGAUUACCAUAUAGGAUUCAUGAUCGGGGUGAAGUCGUAACAAGGU